UGAACAGUGAGCCAAAUUGAACAUCCCUUUAAAUUGAAAGUCGAGUCAGGUCGGGGUGAAGAGUUCAGGAUGAGCUUCUUUGGAAAGCUUCCGUGGACUCUACAGGAGAGUGCUUCAGUAACAAGGGCCUGUCAAUUGGAUGACUGAGACAGAAACAUCGUCUCUUAGAACUUAUACAGGAGAAAAAGGAGAGGAAGAGAUCGUGAAACCCCACGUGCAUUUGAGGGAAAUAAGAGGAGAUGGGAGCAACCUGUGAUUCCAAGCUAGAAGAUAGUAAAGCCAAGAUCUUCUCGUAUGCCAAGAAGACACAAAUGACAUUCUUAAUUAAUUA
Fukomys damarensis (Damara mole-rat) is the source of this 331-nucleotide long non-coding RNA. RefSeq lists it as uncharacterized. The transcript is spliced from 3 exons. The record is from RefSeq and is a predicted model, not a curated record. Lineage: Eukaryota; Metazoa; Chordata; Mammalia; Rodentia; Bathyergidae.